CCUACGGGUGGCAGCAGUGAGGAAUAUUGGUCAAUGGGCGAGAGCCUGAACCAGCCAAGUCGCGUGAGGGAAGACGGUCCUAUGGAUUGUAAACCUCUUUUGCCGGGGAGCAAAAAGCGGUACGUGUACCGCAUUGAGCGUACCCGGAGAAAAAGCAUCGGCUAACUCCGUGCCAGCAGCCGCGGUAAUACAGAGGUCUCAAGCGUUGUGCGGAAUCACUGGGCGUAAAGCGUGCGUAGGCUGUUUCGUAAGUCGGUUGUGAAAGGCGCGGGCUCAACCCGGGGAUGGCAGUUGAUACUGGGAGACUAGAGUAAAGGAGGGGUAACCGGAAUUCGUGGUGUAGCAGUGAAAUGCGUAGAUAUCGAGAGGAACACUGGUGGCGAAGGCGGGUUCCUGGACAUUAACGGACGCUGAGGCACGAAGGUGAGGGGAGCGAAAGGGAUUAGAUACCCGUGUAGUC
RNAcentral lists this ribosomal RNA (460 nucleotides) under uncultured bacterium. RNAcentral describes it as "partial 16S ribosomal RNA". It matches the Rfam family "Bacterial small subunit ribosomal RNA", at positions 338 to 795 of the family's 1533-position model. The record is from RNAcentral.